CCUACGGGGAGCAGCAGUGGGGAAUAUUGGGCAAUGGGCGCAAGCCUGACCCAGCAACGCCGCGUGAAGGAAGAAGGCUUUCGGGUUGUAAACUUCUUUUGUCAGGGAAGAGUAGAAGACGGUACCUGACGAAUAAGCCACGGCUAACUACGUGCCAGCAGCCGCGGUAAUACGUAGGUGGCAAGCGUUGUCCGGAUUUACUGGGUGUAAAGGGCGUGUAGCCGGGUUGACAAGUCAGAUGUGAAAUCCUGCGGCUUAACCGCAGAACUGCAUUUGAAACUGUUGAUCUUGAGUACUGGAGAGGCAGACGGAAUUCCUAGUGUAGCGGUGAAAUGCGUAGAUAUUAGGAGGAACACCAGUGGCGAAGGCGGUCUGCUGGACAGUAACUGACGGUGAGGCGCGAAAGCGUGGGGAGCAAACAGGAUUAGAUACCCCAGUAGUC
Molecule: ribosomal RNA, 442 nt
Filed under: uncultured bacterium
Lineage: Bacteria
Description: partial 16S ribosomal RNA
Rfam family: Bacterial small subunit ribosomal RNA
Source: RNAcentral